RNAcentral lists this ribosomal RNA (483 nucleotides) under uncultured bacterium. RNAcentral's name for it is "partial 16S ribosomal RNA". It matches the Rfam family "Bacterial small subunit ribosomal RNA", at positions 30 to 506 of the family's 1533-position model. The record is from RNAcentral.
AUUGAACGCUGGCGGCAGGCCUAACACAUGCAAGUCGAGCGGAUGAAGGGAGCUUGCUCCUGGAUUCAGCGGCGGACGGGUGAGUAAUGCCUAGGAAUCUGCCUGGUAGUGGGGGAUAACGUCCGGAAACGGGCGCUAAUACCGCAUACGUCCUGAGGGAGAAAGUGGGGGAUCUUCGGACCUCACGCUAUCAGAUGAGCCUAGGUCGGAUUAGCUAGUUGGUGGGGUAAAGGCCUACCAAGGCGACGAUCCGUAACUGGGCUGAGAGGAUGAGCAGUCACCCUGGACCUAAGCACCGUCCCGGGCCCCUCCGGGGGGCAGGAGUGGGAAGUGUUGGACCAGGGGGGAAAGCCUCACCCAGCCCUGCCGCGUGUUGGAAGAAGGCCUGCGGUUUGUAAACCCCUUUAAGUUGGGAAGAAGGGAAGAAAGUUAAUACCUUGCUUUUUGACCGUACCCAAAAAAAAAACCCCCGCCUAAUUCCUU